Bufo bufo (common toad) is the source of this 562-nucleotide long non-coding RNA. RefSeq lists it as uncharacterized. The transcript has 2 exons. The record is from RefSeq and is a predicted model, not a curated record. NCBI's taxonomy places the organism in Eukaryota, Metazoa, Chordata, Amphibia, Anura, Bufonidae.
UUUAGGCCAGCAAGGAGGCGGGGCUGAUUAAGUCCCGCACAGAACGUUAAGUCAAGUGUCAGGACGUUAUCACUGUAGGCCUGCUCCUAGUUCCAUCCAAGUCAAGUUUCUUUGCAGAUGCAACUUCCAGCAGUGAAGAAGAAGCAAACACUAAUAACAAAGAUAAGGCAGAGGAACCUCCAGCAUCUCCUCUUUCUCCCUUGCCCUCUUUCAGGCUCCCUGCUCCUUGUCUUAGUAACCAGAGUGGGUUGAGUUCCAGCAGUGUGUUCUCAAACCCAUUCCAAGAUGAGAAGCAGGCACAGCUAAGCAUCUUAGAAAGACAUGUCAAACUGAGUGAUGGCAAUUGGGCAAGGGGUGGAAAAGGUGUCUGUCUUGCUUACCAGAGAGAUGGGCGAUGUCGUUAUGGAACCAAAUGCAAAUACAGCCAUGGUAGUGACUUGCCUCAGGGAAGUACUGCGUUUUCACAGCGACCGAUCGUUGGAAAUAAUUCAAGCAAUAAAGUCUUAGAGAUGCAAAGUUUAGCAAGUGGGGAAGAACAAGUUGAGGAACCUCAAAGUGAUAA